Molecule: ribosomal RNA, 492 nt
Filed under: uncultured bacterium
Lineage: Bacteria
Description: partial 16S ribosomal RNA
Rfam family: Bacterial small subunit ribosomal RNA
Source: RNAcentral
AGUGAACGCUGGCGGUAGGCCUAACACAUGCAAGUCGAACGGCAGCACAGUAAGAGCUUGCUCUUACGGGUGUCGAGUGUCGGACGGGUGACUAAUACACCGGAAUCCACUUUUUCGUGGGGGAUAAUGUCGGGAAACGUACGCUAAUACCGCAUACGACCUACGGGUGAAAGCAGGGGUUCUUCGAACCUUUCGCUAGUGAAAGAGCCUAUGUCGGAUUAGCUAGUUGGCGGGGUAAAGGCGCACCUAGGCCACGAUCCGUAGCUGAUCUGACAGGGUGUUCAGCCACACGGGAUCUGAGACGCAGUCCAGACUCCGACAGGAGGCAGCAGUGGGGAAUAUUGGACGAUGGGCGAAAGCCGGAUCCAGCAAUACCGGGGAGGUGAUGAACGCCUUCUGGUUGUAAAGCCCUUUUGUUGGGAAAGAAAAGCAGCACGUUAACACCCCGCUGUUCUGACGGUACCCAAAGAAUAAGCACCGGCUAACUUCGUG